Non-coding RNA from Rhodocollybia butyracea, 93 nucleotides. NCBI's taxonomy places the organism in Eukaryota, Fungi, Basidiomycota, Agaricomycetes, Agaricales, Omphalotaceae. The record is from the annotation of a GenBank genome assembly.
GGCCUGAUGGUCUAGGAGUAUGAUUUGUUGUUAGGGUUAGCCAUUUGUAUGAUUCUUUCAACGAGGUCCCGGGUUCAAUUCCUGGUCAGGCCU